UUAUUCAUCAUAGUCCUCCAGGCAAUAACAGAAGAAUUAAAAACAGGAUGCCCCUGGGAGCUCCUCUAUGUUAACGACCUUGCUCUAAUUGCUGAGUCACUAUCAGAACUAGAGAAGUUUCAGGUGCGGAAACAAGGACUAGAAUCGAAUGGACUUAGAAUCAACCUAGCUAAAACCAAAGUCCUAAUAAGUAGGAAGGCAG
Octopus sinensis (East Asian common octopus) is the source of this 202-nucleotide long non-coding RNA. RefSeq lists it as uncharacterized. The transcript is spliced from 2 exons. The record is from RefSeq and is a predicted model, not a curated record. Lineage: Eukaryota; Metazoa; Mollusca; Cephalopoda; Octopoda; Octopodidae.